AUAGGGAGUCGGACCUGCCCGGUGAAAUUUUUUAACGGCCGCGGUACUCUGACCGUGCAAAGGUAGCAUAAUCAUUUGCCUUAUAAUUGAAGGCUAGUAUGAAUGGUUUGACAAGAAUACUGCUGUCUCUUUAUAACUUAUUAGAAUUUUAUCUUAAGGUGUAGAAGCCUUAAUAAAAUUGAUAGACAAGAAGACCCUAUCGAGCUUUAAAAAAUUUAGUAGAUUUUUAUUUCAGUAAAGUUAGUUAGCUAUUAAAAAUUUUGGUUGGGGCGACUAAGGAACAAACAAAGCUUCCUUUAAUAUUAAUAAACCCACAAGUCCUGAUCCAGAACUUUUGAUUAAAGAAAUUAGUUACCGUAGGGAUAACAGCAUUAUCUUUUUUGAGAGCUCUUAUCGAAAAGAAGGUUUGUGACCUCGAUGUUGGACCAGAAUAUCCUAAAGAUGCAGAAGUCUUUAAGGGUUGGUCUGUUCGACCAUUAAAAUUCUA
RNAcentral lists this ribosomal RNA (487 nucleotides) under Comitas sp. NP-2008. RNAcentral's name for it is "partial 16S ribosomal RNA". It matches the Rfam family "Bacterial large subunit ribosomal RNA", at positions 1845 to 2598 of the family's 2925-position model. Lineage: Eukaryota; Metazoa; Mollusca; Gastropoda; Neogastropoda; Turridae. The record is from RNAcentral.